RNAcentral lists this ribosomal RNA (530 nucleotides) under uncultured bacterium. Its description in RNAcentral is "bacterial SSU rRNA". It matches the Rfam family "Bacterial small subunit ribosomal RNA", at positions 355 to 899 of the family's 1533-position model. The record is from RNAcentral.
UGGGGAAUCUUGGACAAUGGGGGCAACCCUGAUCCAGCCAUGCCGCGUGAGUGAUGAAGGCCUUAGGGUCGUAAAGCUCUUUCGCCUGUGAAGAUAAUGACGGUAGCAGGUAAAGAAACCCCGGCUAACUCCGUGCCAGCAGCCGCGGUAAUACGGAGGGGGUUAGCGUUGUUCGGAAUUACUGGGCGUAAAGCGCACGUAGGCGGACCAGAAAGUUGGGGGUGAAAUCCCGGGGGCUCAACCCCGGAACUGCCUCCAAAACUAUUGGUCUAGAGUUCGAGAGAGGUGAGUGGAAUUCCAAGUGUAGAGGUGAAAUUCGUAGAUAUUUGGAGGAACACCAGUGGCGAAGGCGGCUCACUGGCUCGAUACUGACGCUGAGGUGCGAAAAGUGUGGGGAGCAAAACAGGAUUAGAUACCCUGGUAGUCCACACCGUAAAACGAUGAAUGCCAGUCGUCGGGUAGCAUGCUAUUCGGUGACACACCUAACGGAUUAAGCAUUCCGCCUGGGGAGUACGGUCGCAAGAUUAAAA